UACCCAAUCCCGAUUCGGGGAGGUAGUGACAAUAAAUAACAAUACAGGGCCAACGGUCUUGUUAUUGGAAUGAGAACAAUUUAAAUAACUUAACGAGGAUCAAUUAGAGGGCAAGUCUGGUGCCAGCAGCCGCGGUAAUUCCAGCUCUAAUAGCGUAUAUUAAAGUUGUUGCAGUUAAAAAGCUCGUAGUCGGAUGUCGGGCUCGGGCAGGCUGUCGGCCUCGGUCGGACGGCAGGCUCGGGUCUUUCUGCCUGAGGAUCCCGUGCACUUUAUUGUGGGCGGGGGACGCAGGCCGUUUACUUUGAAAAAAUUAGAGUGUUCAAAGCAGGCCUACGCUUGAAUACAUUAGCAUGGAAUAAUGGAAUAGGACUUUGGUGCUAUUUUGUUGGUUUAUGGGACCGAAGUAAUGAUUAACAGGGACAGUUGGGGCCGUUUAUAUUUCGUUGUCAGAGGUGAAAUUCUUGGAUUUACGAAAGAUAAACUUCUGCGAAAGCAUUCGGCAAGGAUGUUUUCAUUGAUCAAGAACGAAAGUUAGGGGAUCGAAGACGAUCAGAUACCGUCGUAGUCUUAACCAUAAACUAUGCCGACUAGGGAUCAGUGGAUGUCAAUUUGCGACUCCAUUGGCACCUUGUGAGAAAUCAAAGUUUUUGGGUUCCGGGGGGAGUAUGGUCGCAAGGCUGAAACUUAAAGGAAUUGACGGAAGGGCACCACCAGGAGUGGAGCCUGCGGCUUAAUUUGACUCAACACGGGGAAACUUACCAGGUCCAGACAUAGUAAGGAUUGACAGAUUGAAAGCUCUUUC
Molecule: ribosomal RNA, 802 nt
Filed under: uncultured Cryptomonadaceae
Lineage: Eukaryota; Cryptophyceae; Cryptomonadales; Cryptomonadaceae
Description: SSU rRNA
Rfam family: Eukaryotic small subunit ribosomal RNA
Source: RNAcentral